This 445-nucleotide ribosomal RNA is filed under the name uncultured bacterium. Its description in RNAcentral is "bacterial SSU rRNA". It matches the Rfam family "Bacterial small subunit ribosomal RNA", at positions 30 to 507 of the family's 1533-position model. The record is from RNAcentral.
AUUGAACGCUGGCGGCAUGCCUUACACAUGCAAGUCGAGCGGCAGCACGGUCUUCGGACUGGUGGCGAGCGGCGGACGGCAGAGUAACGCGUAGGAACAUGCCCCAAAGUGAGGAAUAACUGCCCGAAAGGGUGGCUAAUGCCGCAUAUGCUCUUCGGAGUAAAGCUUUAUGCGCUUUGGGAGUGGCCUGCGUCCGAUUAGCUUGUUGGUGAGGUAAUAGCUCACCAAGGCGACGAUCGGUAGCUGGUCUGAGAGGAUGAUCAGCCUGACUGGAACUGAGAACGGUCCAGACUCCUACGGGAGGCAGCAGUAGGGAAUUUUCCACAAUGGGCGAGAGCCUGAUGGAGCAACGCCGCGUGCAGGAUGAAUGCCUUCGGGUUGUAAACUGCUUUUAUGUGCGAAGAAUUUGACUGUAACACAUGAAUAAGGAUCGGCUAACUACGUG